This 253-nucleotide ribosomal RNA is filed under the name uncultured bacterium. RNAcentral describes it as "partial 16S ribosomal RNA". It matches the Rfam family "Bacterial small subunit ribosomal RNA", at positions 524 to 776 of the family's 1533-position model. The record is from RNAcentral.
GACAGAGGGGGCAAGCGUUGCUCGGAAUCACUGGGCGUAAAGGGCGCGUAGGCGGGAUGGCAAGUCGGUCGUGAAAUCCUUCGGCUCAACCGAAGAACGUCGGCCGAUACUGCCGUUCUUGAGGGAUGCAGAGGAGAUUGGAAUUCCCGGUGUAGCGGUGAAAUGUGUAGAGAUCGGGAGGAACACCGAUGGCGAAGGCAGGUCUCUGGGCCACUACUGACGCUGAGAAGCGAAAGCAUGGGGAGCGAACAGG